This 253-nucleotide ribosomal RNA is filed under the name uncultured bacterium. RNAcentral's name for it is "partial 16S ribosomal RNA". It matches the Rfam family "Bacterial small subunit ribosomal RNA", at positions 524 to 776 of the family's 1533-position model. The record is from RNAcentral.
UACGAAGGGGGCGAGCGUUAUUCGGAAUCACUGGGCGUAAAGCGUGCGUAGGCUGCUUGGAAAGUUGGAAGUGAAAGCCCAGGGCUCAACCCUGGAAUUGCUUUCAAAACUACCAGGCUAGGAUUUGGGAGAGGAUAGCGGAAUUGUCAGUGUAGCAGUGAAAUGCGUAGAUAUUGACAGGAACACCAGUGGCGCAGGCGGCUAUCUGGACCAACAUCGACGCUGAGGCACGAAAGCGUGGGGAUCAAACAGG